This 428-nucleotide ribosomal RNA is filed under the name uncultured bacterium. RNAcentral's name for it is "bacterial SSU rRNA". It matches the Rfam family "Bacterial small subunit ribosomal RNA", at positions 917 to 1344 of the family's 1533-position model. The record is from RNAcentral.
GGACCCGCACAAGUAGUGGAGCAUGUGGUUUAAUUCGAAGAUACGCGCAGAACCUUACCAACACUUGACAUGUUCGUCGCGACUUUAAGAGAUUAAAGUUUUCGGUUCGGCCGGACGAAACACAGGUGCUGCAUGGCUGUCGUCAGCUCGUGUCGUGAGAUGUUGGGUUAAGUCCCGCAACGAGCGCAACCCUCACUUUUAGUUGCCAUCAUUAAGUUGGGCACUCUGAAAGAACUGCCAGUGAUAAGCUGGAGGAAGGUGGGGAUGACGUCAAGUCCUCAUGGCCCUUACGUGUUGGGCUACACACGUGCUACAAUGGCAUUUACAAUAGGAAGCAAAACGGCGACGUUAAGCAAAUCCUAAAAAAUGCCUCAGUUCGGAUUGUACUCUGCAACUCGAGUACAUGAAGCUGGAAUUACUAGUAAUCG